ACCGUGGUCUAGCGGUUAGAACGCUGGCCUUGUAAUCCUGGGAUUCCGGGUUCGAUUUCCGGCGGU
This 66-nucleotide transfer RNA is filed under the name Zootermopsis nevadensis. It matches the Rfam family "tRNA". From Rfam's summary of the family: Transfer RNA (tRNA) molecules are approximately 80 nucleotides in length. Their secondary structure includes four short double-helical elements and three loops (D, anti-codon, and T loops). Lineage: Eukaryota; Metazoa; Arthropoda; Insecta; Blattodea; Termopsidae. The record is from Rfam by way of RNAcentral.